GCCAGGCAUGGUGGCUCAUGCCUGUAAUCCCAGUGGCUCGGGAGGCUGAGGCAAGAGGAUACCAAGUCAAAGUCACCCUUUUGAGACCCUGUUUCAAAGUAAAAAAUACAAAAAGACUGGGGGUGGUGGUGGUGGCGCUGGGGUUGUGGCUCAAGUGGUAGAGCGCUUGCCUCAC
This 175-nucleotide small RNA is filed under the name Marmota monax (woodchuck). The record is from RNAcentral. Lineage: Eukaryota; Metazoa; Chordata; Mammalia; Rodentia; Sciuridae.